Molecule: long non-coding RNA, 904 nt
Filed under: Phaseolus vulgaris (common bean)
Lineage: Eukaryota; Viridiplantae; Streptophyta; Magnoliopsida; Fabales; Fabaceae
Description: long non-coding RNA (PVUL_LNC000501)
Source: RNAcentral
GAAGGUUUUUUCAAGCCAAAACUAAAUGAAGCAGGGUAUCCAAGUGGGUUUGUGAUAGGGAGAAACCACAAUUGAAUGGGGUUCGCUGGUCAUGUUGGGUGUUCUAUGUGGGCUUUGAUGUUGCGUGCAUGGUGUUCUUACUGGGACGAGCAGGGGAAUCUGGUUAGCAUGCUCCUUUAUCAGUCUUGGUUGGUUGACUACACUUUUUUGUCAAGUCCCUAAGAAAUGGGGAUGGUUGGGACCUUUUUUAUUUUGUUAUCCUAUACUGGUCUGGCUAGGUUUCUUUGGUGGAUUAGGGGAUUAGAAACGUGGCUUUGGCCUUCACAAGAUGUGUACGUCUUUGGUAACAGGCUUACUAUUGAAGUUAAUUUUUCUUGCGGGAAUUGUUGUGGUUGGAGGAAGUAUAAAAUAUGGAAUGCUUGGCUAGGAAGUAUCAUGAAAAGUGAAGACUUAGGUUGAACUUUUCAUAAGCGGGUAGAGCAAGAAGGUGGGACUGGCUGCAUUGAUGGAGCCCAUGUUAGUGCAGUGCCACUCCAAUACCGAACCAGCCAAGACACUUUGUUGAAGCUGGAAAGGCUUUUAGAACAGUAGGCUUGUUACUGCUGAAGCAUUGGGAAGGUGCUGAGGUGUAGGGAUUUGGGUGAUGUUUGGGAAGGAUGGAUUGUGCAAGCUGCUUGUACAGCUCUUCAUGAGAGCCGGUUCUGUUUUUGAGGGGCCAAUCUUUUUUCUGCUAUAUUGGACAAAUGGUCUCUGGUUUAUGCUUGCUAUUAUGAAUCCAAACUGAGGAAAACACUGCUUACCUUGUUGUUAAUCUGGGUGUAUUGUUUUUAUUUUCUGUUUUAUGUGUUUUUUAGACCUGUUGUUGUUAGUUUUGUAUAAGGGUUGGGACACCCCUGAAGUGUCU